This 1564-nucleotide ribosomal RNA is filed under the name Anisonema sp. G1. RNAcentral's name for it is "SSU rRNA". It matches the Rfam family "Eukaryotic small subunit ribosomal RNA", at positions 474 to 1804 of the family's 1831-position model. The record is from RNAcentral. Lineage: Eukaryota; Euglenozoa; Anisonemea; Anisonemida; Anisonematidae.
AGAAUGGCAACGGUGUUGGUCUUAUGGCCAUACGCUGUUCGCAAUGGAUGUUAUUCCAAAACGCUCAGUGAGUAUCGAUUGGAGGGCAAGUCUGGUGCCAGCAGCCGCGGUAAUUCCAGCUCCAAUAGUGUAUACAAAUGUUGCUGCUGUUAAAACGCUCGUAGUUGAUUGCAGAGUGACAGGUGCUGCUUCUGAUCACUUCGGUGGUCAUCAAGGAAGUGGCAAUGCCAGUUACUCGCCUGAUGCGGAAUCAGUCUCAUGGUUGGAGCUGUCUUCACUGACGGUGUCCAGCAGCAUCUGCACGACAGUCAUGCUAUGGCUUUCCAAAGAGAGUGUCCGCUGAAAGUACCGUGAACAAAACAGUGUGUUCAAAGCAGCCCAUCUGUUGGCUGCAUGACAAAGCACGGGAUGCUAACGGAUCGACCGCAAGGAUUGCUCUGUUCUGCCAGUCUUUGGCUCCUUAUGGGAAAUCUGAUGGCUUGGUGCUUUCGGUCUUGUGGUUCAGCUCUACGGAGUCGUUCUGCUUGCUGAUAUGCUACCAGUCAUCGUUCGGAACUGAAGAGUCUACUCGGGGCCCAGCAUACCGCCAAGCGAGAGGUGAAAUUCUUGGACCUUGGCGUGAUGAACUACAGCGAAAGCACUGUUGGCAAGUGCAUGACUGUCAAUCAAGAACGAGAGUGUGGGGAUCGAAGAUGAUCAGAUACCGUCGUAGUCCACUUCUGUAAACUGUGCCGGCUGAGCAUGGGCAAUGAUCUUCUCUCAAGAUGUUCUUGUCCGCUCUUUCCUCCCNACAACGAGAAAUCCAAGCUUAUGGGUUCAGGGGGGAGUACAUUCGCAAGGCUGAAACUUGAAGGAAUUGACGGAAUGACACCACCAGGCGUGGAGUCUGCGGCUUAAUUUGACUCAACGCGGGAAAUGUUACCGGGUCAGGACGCAGCAAUGAUGGACAGAUUGAGAGCUCUUUCUUGAUUCUUCGGAUGGUGGUGCAUGGCCGUUCCUGGUUCGUGGAGUGAUCUGUCUGGUUGAUUCCGUUAACGAGCGAGAUCUUUGCCUCUCCAUAGUGACCAUGUCGAUCGUAAGACUGGUGCCGUUUUGACUUCCUUCGGGUUGCCGAGACUGGUACUGUCUGAGACGUGGCUUUCAACUUCUCAGAUGAUCCGCCAGUGCUUCCAAGCUGGCGUAAGCAAAAGGCGACAGCAGGUCUGUGAUGCCCCUAAAUGUUCCGGGCCGCACGCGCACGACAUUGAGGCUUACUGCAAGCCUGACUGUGUCUUUAUGGCCAGUCAUCCUGAACUGAAAGACUUUCUGGGAAAUCUGCUCACAAGGCGCGUAACUGGAAUUGAUGGUUGCAAUUAUUUGUCAUGAACGAGGAAUGCCUAGUAUGCGUGGCUCAUCAGGCCACACAGAUUGAGUCCCUGCCAUUUGUACACACCGCCCGUCGUUCCUACCGAUGAUGGAUGAAUUGAGGUUUCAGAAGGCUAUUGAAGAUCACAAUGUGAUCAGAUCGGUUGAAUUUGCCCAAAAUUCCUCUGCUAGAGGAAGGAAAAGUCGUAACAAGGUUGCU